Molecule: long non-coding RNA, 1620 nt
Organism: Heterocephalus glaber (naked mole-rat)
Lineage: Eukaryota; Metazoa; Chordata; Mammalia; Rodentia; Bathyergidae
Source: Ensembl
CCCCGCCCAAGCCCUCUGGCCCAGGGCACAGUUCCGCACCCGCAGCACGCCGAUGACGUCGCCAGCCUCGUCUAGCUCCAUGUCGCCCUCGGUCGCCAGGAUUCGCUGUACUGUCUGCAAGACGUUGGUUGCCAUGGUGACGUCCCCACAGACAAACAUGUGGCCCCGCUCGAGGCACAGCACGCGGUGCACUUCAGCAGCUAGCUCAGUCCUCAGGAUGUCCUGCACGUAGGUCUGAGGGGAGGUCCUGUGUCCUACCCAGGGCUCUACCUGGCUGAGGGCCUCUAGCUCCUGCUGUUCGCUGGACUCUUCAGCCAGGGUGCUGAGCAGUUGCAGGAGGCGUGGGCUGGGCGGAGAGGUGAUGUCCAGGAAGAAGGUGGCCACAGGAGCCAUCGAGGCUGAGGUCGUUCCUGUGGGUGCACAGCUCUGGUGGCAGGAGGGAGGUUGAGGCCCGUGUAUGCCUUGGUUUCCCCCACAGUGACAUCUCUGGAUUCCGGUGGAGGUGAGAUGAGGAGCCAUCCUCCCAGCCAUGGACCCAGACCUGCUGAGUUCAAACCUGAAGGAGGGAUGGAUGGUCCUCCUGCACUGGAUUGAGUAGCAUGUGGCCCGCCUGACCAGUUCCAGGUGGAAUUGCCAGAUCGGAAGUGCUGUCCCGUGUGGAAGCUCAGGCUUAUAGUCACAGUCCCUGGGACCCUCCACUGGCCAGGAGCAUCCCUGCAGGCCAGGCAGUGCUCCCUGGCCUGGCCUCUGAAAGCCUGAAGUCUUGUGCUGGCUUCACUUUCAGCCUUCACCUUCACCCUUUCUCUUUCGUGCCAUCCUGCCUGCCCUCCCUUUGUGGGCUCACUCAUGGGGCCCAGCCCAUGCCUGGCUGAGUGUGCCCUCCUGCCAGGCCCUGUCUGCUAUCUGUGGGCCACACUUUUGCCUGGGCACCAUACUUCUUGUUAAUAGAGCACAUUGUCCACUACUUGGGACUGAGCCCAGAGGGCUGGCUGAGCCAUGGUGAUACGAAGGUGGAUUAUGGAAGGAACGGAAAGGGUCCAGAGAACCACACAGGACCAGGGAGGCAGUAAGCUUCCAGUCUUAUCACUGCAGUCCCGGCAGUGAAGAUGUGGAGGCCAGGCCUCAGCUUGGUGAGAGGUGGCAUGUGGGUUGCAGGGCUUGACAGGGUCAGGGGCUAGGGACAUCAGGGACUCACCUGGAAGGCGGCCUGGGCCCAGCCACGGAAGGCCUCCUCCUGGCCACACAGCUCGUCGCCCUGGCCCAGCUGCAGUAGACGCUCCCCCACCCAGCUCCUCCAGCCUUGUGUCCACUGCCCGGGCAAAGGCGCAGAAGUGUGGGUAUGCCCGGGAGCCCAGCCCGAAUACACAAAACCUGGGGUAUAGGGAGUUGCUGCUGGAGCUGCCCAUGCCAGGCCUUGUAUGCUUGGGCAGCUUGCCCCCAUGCACCCCUUUUGGUGAGGACUCCCAACCUGAGGGUGCCCAGGGCCCCUGCGCUGUCUGUGUUACUGGACUCCUUCCUCUUCCGCCGCCAAGAGGACACCAGCGGGUCUGUGCAGGACACACUGUUGAAACGGAUUUUGUAGCUCCUGCCAAGAGAGGGGGAAGACAAGGGUGUCACAGG